RNAcentral lists this ribosomal RNA (107 nucleotides) under uncultured bacterium. Its description in RNAcentral is "partial 16S ribosomal RNA". The record is from RNAcentral.
CAAACCGCCCGCCGUGGGAGGGAUGAAGCCCCCUUGGGGGCGGUAAACUCCUUUCAUAGGGAAGAUAAUGACGGUACCUAUAGAAGAAGCCCCGGCUAACUUCGUGC